GUCUAUGGCCAUACCACCCUGAACGCGCCCGAUCUCGUCUGAUCUCGGAAGCUAAGCAGGGUCGGGCCUGGUUAGUACUUGGAUAGAAGAUGUAUGUUUGAAGGCACACUGACAUAAAGC
Ribosomal RNA from Spermophilus dauricus (Daurian ground squirrel), 120 nucleotides. The record is from Ensembl. Lineage: Eukaryota; Metazoa; Chordata; Mammalia; Rodentia; Sciuridae.